RNAcentral lists this ribosomal RNA (160 nucleotides) under uncultured bacterium. Its description in RNAcentral is "partial 16S ribosomal RNA". The record is from RNAcentral.
CUGCUGCCUUCCGUAGGAGUCUGGUCCGUGUCUCAGUACCAGUGUGGGGGACCUUCCUCUCAGAACCCCUACGCAUCGUCGGUUAGGUGGGCCGUUACCCCGCCUACUGCCUAAUGCGCCGCAUGCCCAUCCCUGUCCGGCCGAAGCCUUUCCUGCCCGG